CACAGGUUUACCUGUGUGACUGCGUACCUUUUGUAUAAUGGGUCAGCGACUUAUAUUCUGUAGCAAGGUUAACCGAAUAGGGGAGCCGGAGGGAAACCGAGUCUUAAUUGGGCGUUAAGUUGCAGGGUAUAGACCCGAAACCCGGUGAUCUAGCCAUGGGCAGGUUGAAGGUUGGGUAACACUAACUGGAGGACCGAACCGACUAAUGUUGAAAAAUUAGCGGAUGACCUGUGGCUGGGGGUGAAAGGCCAAUCAAACCGGGAGAUAGCUGGUUCUCCCCGAAAGCUAUUUAGGUAGCGCCUCGUGAAUUCAUCUCCGGGGGUAGAGCACUGUUUCGGCUAGGGGGCCAUCCCGGCUUACCAACCCGAUGCAAACUGCGAAUACCGGAGAAUGUUAUCACGGGAGACACACGGCGGGUGCUAACGUCCGUCGUGAAGAGGGAAACAACCCAGACCGCCAGCUAAGGUCCCAAAGUCAUGGUUAAGUGGGAAACGAUGUGGGAAGGCCCAGACAGCCAGGAUGUUGGCUUAGAAGCAGCCAUCAUUUAAAGAAAGCGUAAUAGCUCACUGGUCGAGUCGGCCUGCGCGGAAGAUGUAACGGGGCUAAACCAUGCACCGAAGCUGCGGCAGCGACACUGUGUGUUGUUGGGUAGGGGAGCGUUCUGUAAGCCUGUGAAGGUGUGUCGUGAGGC
This 691-nucleotide ribosomal RNA is filed under the name Salmonella enterica subsp. enterica serovar Enteritidis. Its description in RNAcentral is "partial 23S ribosomal RNA". It matches the Rfam family "Bacterial large subunit ribosomal RNA", at positions 578 to 1269 of the family's 2925-position model. The record is from RNAcentral. Lineage: Bacteria; Pseudomonadati; Pseudomonadota; Gammaproteobacteria; Enterobacterales; Enterobacteriaceae.